GGGCCAGACUCCUACGGGAGGCAGCAGUGGGGAAUAUUGCACAAUGGGGGAAACCCUGAUGCAGCGACGCCGCGUGAGCGAUGAAGUAUUUCGGUAUGUAAAGCUCUAUCAGCAGGGAAGAAAAUGACGGUACCUGACUAAGAAGCCCCGGCUAACUACGUGCCAGCAGCCGCGGUAAUACGUAGGGGGCAAGCGUUAUCCGGAUUUACUGGGUGUAAAGGGAGCGUAGACGGCUGUGCAAGCCAGAUGUGAAAGCCCGGGGCUCAACCCCGGGACUGCAUUUGGAACUGUGUGGCUGGAGUGUCGGAGAGGCAGGCGGAAUUCCUAGUGUAGCGGUGAAAUGCGUAGAUAUUAGGAAGAACACCAGUGGCGAAGGCGGAUUACUGGACGACAACUGACGGUGAGGCGCGAAAGCGUGGGGAGCAAACAGGAUUAGAUACCCCAGUAC
Molecule: ribosomal RNA, 448 nt
Filed under: uncultured bacterium
Lineage: Bacteria
Description: bacterial SSU rRNA
Rfam family: Bacterial small subunit ribosomal RNA
Source: RNAcentral